GGGCACAGCCGUGCCCAAAAAUAAGCCCCCGAAGGUCGGGGUCCCAAGACCCCCCAGCGGAAAAAUGGCCAAAAAACGGGUGGGCUAUAGCCUAUGUGGGGGGCGUGGGCGAAGUUCGUCCGCGGGACUCGGAAUGGCCCCAGACUUGGCGGGCGGCCUCCGUGUGCCAAAAAUAGGCCACGGGCACAGCCGCGCCCAAAAAUCAGCCCCCGAAGGUCGGGGUCCCAAGACCCCCCAGCGGAAAAAUGGCCAAAAAACGGGUGGGCUAUAGCCUUGGUGGGGGGCGUGGGCGAAGUUCGUCCGCGGGACUCGAAAUGGCCCCAGACUUGGCGGGCGGCCUCCGUAUGCCAAAAAUAGGCCACGGGCACAGCCGCGCCCAAAAAUCAGCCCCCGAAGGUCGGGGUCCCAAGACCCCCCCAGCGGAAAAAUGGCCAAAAAACGGGUGGGCCUAUAGCCUAGUGUGGGGGGCGUGGGGCGAAGUUAGUCCGCGGGUCUCGGAAUGGCCCCAGACUUGGUGGGCGGCCUCCGUGUGCCAAAAAAUAGGCCACGGGCACAGCCGCGCCCAAAAAUCAGCCCCCCAAGGUCGGGGUCCCAAGACUCCCCAGCGGAAAAAUGGCCAAAAAACGGGUGGGCUAUAGCCUAUGUGGGGGGCGUGGGCGAAGUUCGUCCGCAGGACUCGGAAUGGCCCCAGAUGUGGCGGGCGGCCUCCGUGUACCAAAAAUAGGCCACGGGCACAGCCGCGCCCAAAAAUAAGCCCCCGAAGGUCGGGGUCCCAAGACCCCCCAGCGGAAAAAUGGCCAAAAAACGGGUGGGCUAUAGCCUUGGUGGGGGGAGUGGGCGAAGUUCGUCCGUCGGACUCGGAAUGGCCCCAGACUUGGCGAGCGGCCUCCGUGUGCCAAAAAUAGGCCACGGGCACAGCCGCGCCCAAAAAUCAGCCCCCGAAGGUCGGGGUCCCAAGACCCCCCAGCGGAAAAAUGGCCAAAAAACGGGUGGGCUAUAGCCUUGGUGGGGGGAGUGGGCGAAGUUCGUCCGUCGGACUCGGAAUGGCCCCAGACUUGGCGAGCGGCCUCCGUGUGCCAAAAAUAGGCCACGGGCACAGCCGCGCCCAAAAAUCAGCCCCCGAAGGUCGGGGUCCCAAGACCCCCCAGCGGAAAAAUGGCCAAAAAACGGGUGGGCUAUAGCCUUGGUGGGGGGCGUGGGCGAAGUUCGUCCGCCGGACUCGGAAUGGCCCCAGACUUGGCGGGCGGCCUCCGUGUGCCAAAAAUAGGCCACGGGCUCAGCCGCGCCCAAAAAUCAGCCCCCGAAGGUCGGGGUCCCAAGACCCCCCAGCGGAAAAAUGGCCAAAAAACGGGUGGGCUAUAGCCUAUGUGGGGGGCGUGGGCGAAGUUCGUCCGCGGGACUCGGAAUGGCCCCAGAUGUGGCGGGCGGCCUCCGUGUACCAAAAAUAGGCCACGGGCACAGCCGCGCCCAAAAAUAAGCCCCCGAAGGUCGGGGUCCCAAGACCCCCCAGCGGAAAAAUGGCCAAAAAACGGGUGGGCUAUAGCCUAUGUGGGGGGCGUGGGCGAAGUUCGUCCGCGGGACUCGGAAUGGCCCCAGCCUUGGUGGGCGGCCUCCGUGUGCCAAAAAUAGGCCACGGGCACAGCCCCGCUCAAAAAUCAGCCCCCGAAGGUCGGGGUCCCAAGACCCCCCAGCGGAAAAAUGGCCAAAAAACGGGUGGGCUAUAGCCUUGGUGGGGGGAGUGGGCGAAGUUCGUCCGUCGGACUCGGAAUGGCCCCAGACUUGGCGAGCGGCCUCCGUGUGCCAAAAAUAGGCCACGGGCACAGCCGCGCCCAAAAAUCAGCCCCCGAAGGUCGGGGUCCCAAGACCCCCCAGCGGAAAAAUGGCCAAAAAACGGGUGGGCUAUAGCCUUGGUGGGGGGCGUGGGCGAAGUUCGUCCGCCGGACUCGGAAUGGCCCCAGACUUGGCGGGCGGCCUCCGUGUGCCAAAAAUAGGCCACGGGCUCAGCCGCGCCCAAAAAUCAGCCCCCGAAGGUCGGGGUCCCAAGACCCCCCAGCGGAAAAAUGGCCAAAAAACGGGUGGGCUAUAGCCUUGGUGGGGGGCGUGGGCGAAGUACGUCCGCUGGACUCGGAAUGGCCCCAAACUUGGUGGGCGGCCUCCGUGUGCCAAAAAUAGGCCACGGGCACAGCCGCGCCCAAAAAUCAGCCCCCCAAGGUCGGGGUCCCAAGACCCCCCAGCGGAAAAAUGGCCAAAAAACGGGUGGGCUAUAGCCUAUGUGGGGGGCGUGGGCGAAGUUCGUCCGCGGGACUCGGAAUGGCCCCAGAUGUGGCGGGCGGCCUCCGUGUACCAAAAAUAGGCCACGGGCACAGCCGCGCCCAAAAAUAAGCCCCCGAAGGUCGGGGUCCCAAGACCCCCCAGCGGAAAAAUGGCCAAAAAACGGGUGGGCUAUAGCCUAUGUGGGGGGCGUGGGCGAAGUUCGUCCGCGGGACUCGGAAUGGCCCCAGACUUGGCGGGCGGCCUCCGUGUGCCAAAAAUAGGCCACGGGCACAGCCGCGCUCAAAAAUCAGCCCCCGAAGGUCGGGGUCCCAAGACCCCCCAGCGGAAAAAUGGCCAAAAAACGGGUGGGCUAUAGCCUUGGUGGGGGGAGUGGGCGAAGUUCGUCCGUCGGACUCGGAAUGGCCCCAGACUUGGCGGGCGGCCUCCGUGUGCCAAAAAUAGGCCACGGGCACAGCCGCGCCCAAAAAUAAGCCCCCGAAGGUCGGGGUCCCAAGACCCCCCAGCCGAAAAAUGGCCAAAAAACGGGUGGGAUAUAGCCUUGGUGGGGGGCGUGGGCGAAGUUCGUCCGCGGGACUCGGAAUAGCCCCAGACUUGGCGGGCGGCCUCCGUGUGCCAAAAAUAGGCCACGGGCACAGCCGCGCAAAAAAAUCAGCCCCCGAAGGUCGGGGUCCCAAGACCCCGCAGCGGAAAAAUGGCCAAAAAAUGGGUGGGCUAUAGCCUUGGUGGGGGGCGUGGGCGAAGUUCGUCCGCCGGACUCGGAAUGGCCCCAAACUUGGUGGGCGGCCUCCGUGUGCCAAAAAUAGGCCACGGGCACAGCCGCGCCCAAAAAUCAGCCCCCCAAGGUCGGGGUCCCAAGACCCCCCAGCGGAAAAAUGGCCAAAAAACGGGUGGGCUAUAGCCUAUGUGGGGGGCGUGGGCGAAGUUCGUCCGCGGGGCUCGGAAUGGCCCCAGAUGUGGCGGGCGGCCUCCGUGUGCCAAAAAUAGGCCACGGGCACAGCCGCGCCUAAAAAUAAGCCCCCGAAGGUCGGGGUCCCAAGACCCCCCAGCGGAAAAAUGGCCAAAAAACGGGUGGGCUAUAGCCUAUGUGGGGGGCGUGGGCGAAGUUCGUCCGCGGGACUCGGAAUGGCCCCAUACUUGGCGGGCGGCCUCCGUGUGCCAAAAAUAGGCCACGGGCACAGCCGCGCCCAAAAAUCAGCCGCCGAAGGUCGGGGUCCCAAGACCCCCCAGCGGAAAAAUGGCCAAAAAACGGGUGGGCUAUAGCCUUGGUGGGGGGAGUGGGCGAAGUUCGUCCGCCGGACUCGGAAUGGCCCCAGACUUGGCGGCCGGCCUCCGUGUGCCAAAAAUAGGCCACGGGCACAGUCGCGCCCAAAAAUCAGCCCCCGAAGGUCGGGGUCCCAAGACCCCCCAGCGGAAAAAUGGCCAAAAAACGGGUGGGCUAUAGCCUUGGUGGGGGGCGUGGGCGAAGUUCGUCCGCGGGACUCGGAAUGGCCCCAGACUUGGCGGACGGCCUCCGUGUGCCAAAAAUAGGCCACGGGCACAGCCGCGCCCAAAAAUAAGCCCCCGAAGGUCGGGGUCCCAAGACCCCCCAGCGGAAAAAUGGCCAAAAAACGGGUGGGCUAUAGCCUUGGUGGGGGGCGUGGGCGAAGUUCGUCCGCGGGACUCGAAAUGGCACCAGAUUUGGCGGCCGGCCUCCGUGUGCCAAAAAUAGGCCACG
This 3988-nucleotide long non-coding RNA is filed under the name Citrus x clementina. Its description in RNAcentral is "Citrus clementina (C. clementina) long non-coding RNA (CCLE_LNC006250)". The record is from RNAcentral. Lineage: Eukaryota; Viridiplantae; Streptophyta; Magnoliopsida; Sapindales; Rutaceae.